AAGGAUCAUUAUCGUAAAACCGAGGUGCGAGGGCUGUCGCUGACCUUUUCGGUUGUGCACGCCCGAGCGCUCUCACACAAUCCAUCUCACCCCUUGUGCACCACCGCGUGGGUCCCUCUCUGGCUCGUCCGGAGGUGGGCUCGCGUUUUCACACAAACUUGAAGUAGUGUAGAAUGUCCUUUUUUGCGAUAACACGCAAUCAAUACAACUUUCAACAACGGAUCUCUUGGCUCUCGCAUCGAUGAAGAACGCAGCGAAAUGCGAUACGUAAUGUGAAUUGCAGAAUUCAGUGAAUCAUCGAAUCUUUGAACGCACCUUGCGCCCCUUGGCAUUCCGAGGGGCACACCCGUUUGAGUGUCGUGAAAUUCUCAAAAACCUUUUCUUUUGGUCAUUUUUGACCAUGGAAAGGAUUUUGGACUUGGAGGCCUUUUGCUGGUUUCACCUUGAAGCAAGCUCCUCCCAAAUGAAUUAGUGGGGUCUGCUUUGUCGGUCCUUGGCGUGAUAAGUUGUUUCUACGUCUCGGAUUUUGGCACUGUACACCUGCUUCUAACCCGUCUCAUCGACAACGAUGGUG
This 574-nucleotide ribosomal RNA is filed under the name Russula cf. crassotunicata src23. Its description in RNAcentral is "eukaryotic LSU rRNA". The stretch from base 207 to 360 matches the Rfam family "5.8S ribosomal RNA". Lineage: Eukaryota; Fungi; Basidiomycota; Agaricomycetes; Russulales; Russulaceae. The record is from RNAcentral.